Molecule: ribosomal RNA, 705 nt
Filed under: uncultured Lysobacteraceae bacterium
Lineage: Bacteria; Pseudomonadati; Pseudomonadota; Gammaproteobacteria; Lysobacterales; Lysobacteraceae
Description: bacterial SSU rRNA
Rfam family: Bacterial small subunit ribosomal RNA
Source: RNAcentral
ACAGUGACUUUCCUUUUGUGGUAGCGUUGACUGGUGUGUAAGCAUGGGCUCUAUCAAACUUGGGGGAUAAUUUAGGGAAAACUUACGCUAAUACCGCAUACGUCUUUGGAGAGAAAUCAGGCGACCUUCGGGCCUUGCGCGGUUGGACGAACGGAUGUGCGAUUAGCUAGUUGGUAGGGUAAUGGCCUACCAAGGCGACGAUCGCUAGCUGGUCUGAGAGGAUGAUCAGCCACACUGGAACUGAGACACGGUCCAGACUCCUACGGGAGGCAGCAGUGGGGAAUAUUGGACAAUGGGCGCAAGCCUGAUCCAGCAAUGCCGCGUGUGUGAAGAAGGCCUUCGGGUUGUAAAGCACUUUUAUCAGGAGCGAAAUACUACCGGCUAAUAUCCGGUGGGGCUGACGGUACCUGAGGAAUAAGCACCGGCUAACUUCGUGCCAGCAGCCGCGGUAAUACGAAGGGUGCAAGCGUUAAUCGGAAUUACUGGGCGUAAAGCGUGCGUAGGCGGUUAUUUAAGUCUGUUGUGAAAUCCCCGGGCUCAACCUGGGAAUGGCAAUGGAUACUGGAUAGCUAGAGUGUGAUAGAGGAUGGUGGAAUUCCCGGUGUAGCGGUGAAAUGCGUAGAGAUCGGGAGGAACAUCAGUGGCGAAGGCGGCCAUCUGGAUCAACACUGACGCUGAGGCACGAAAGCGUGGGGAGCAAACAGG